This 492-nucleotide ribosomal RNA is filed under the name uncultured bacterium. RNAcentral's name for it is "partial 16S ribosomal RNA". It matches the Rfam family "Bacterial small subunit ribosomal RNA", at positions 29 to 507 of the family's 1533-position model. The record is from RNAcentral.
AGUGAACGCUGGCGGUAGGCCUAACACAUGCAAGUCGAACGGCAGCACAGUAAGAGCUUGCUCUUACGGGUGGCGAGUGGCGGACGGGUGAGGAAUACAUCGGAAUCUACUUUUUCGUGGGGGAUAACGUAGGGAAACUUACGCUAAUACCGCAUACGACCUACGGGUGAAAGCAGGGGAUCUUCGGACCUUGCGCGAGUGAAUGAGCCGAUGUCGGAUUAGCUAGUUGGCGGGGUAAAGGCCCACCAAGGCGACGAUCCGUAGCUGGUCUGAGAGGAUGGUAGGCCGCCUGGGAAGGUGACAAGCGACCCAGGGACUGAGGGAAGGCCCAGGCGGGGACGUUAGGCAACAGGGGGGAAUCUUGCACAAUCCACGCAGGCUGGAUGAAGAGGCCCUGCGGGUGGUAAGGCCUUUUGUUGGGAAAGAAAAGCAGCAGGUUAAUACCCAGCUGUUCUGACGGUACCCAAAGAAUAAGCACCGGCUAACUACGUG